CAUGCGCUCUCCUUGUUUUUGUUGGUACAGAAUGGAAAUAAUAAUAGGCUAGUGUUUUUUUUACGGUAAGAUCAAAAUGAUGCGCACAUCCCCAUCCUUCAGAUUUGGGACCAUCACAGACACUAUCAGCUUUUUCUUUAAAAUGUUUCCCUCAGAGUAAAGACAAAACUUACAGAGAAUUUUCUGUAUUAUUUAGAGGGGAAAGUGGAUAAAUUGUCCAUCUUUUUCAGAUCGUCUUCAAGAUAAUACAAUUGGUCCGCUGUCUGCUGGAAAGGUUAUGACUGGACGCAAAUUAUUUUCUCGAAAACCAGAACACGGGCCAAGGGUCACGGGAGGUCACUGCCUCUCUCUGUGUGCCAGUAACAGACACAGACGGUUAACAACCGGGCACAGCUUCAAAGAGCCAAGCAGUUAGUGGCGAUGUCGCAGCGGUGUCGGGGUGAGCCGUAAUGUAUUGUGCUGCAAACAAGAAGGAUUGCAGGAUCCCUGCCUCCCAGCCCGUGGGAGCCCGCGGUGACGCCGGAGCUCAGGUAUAUGGAUGGCCUGAGGAG
RNAcentral lists this long non-coding RNA (551 nucleotides) under Salmo trutta (river trout). RNAcentral's name for it is "lncRNA (ENSSTUG00000004379.1)". The record is from RNAcentral. Lineage: Eukaryota; Metazoa; Chordata; Actinopteri; Salmoniformes; Salmonidae.